RNAcentral lists this ribosomal RNA (373 nucleotides) under uncultured Geobacteraceae bacterium. Its description in RNAcentral is "partial 16S ribosomal RNA". It matches the Rfam family "Bacterial small subunit ribosomal RNA", at positions 180 to 531 of the family's 1533-position model. Lineage: Bacteria; Pseudomonadati; Thermodesulfobacteriota; Desulfuromonadia; Geobacterales; Geobacteraceae. The record is from RNAcentral.
ACGGACUCCUCGGAGUCUGCAGGAAAAGGAGGCCUCUAUUUAUAAGCUUCCGUAUCAUGAUGGGUCCGCGUACCAUUAGCUAGUUGGUGGGGUAAUGGCCUACCAAGGCGACGAUGGUUAGCUGGUCUGAGAGGAUGAUCAGCCACACUGGAACUGAGACACGGUCCAGACUCCUACGGGAGGCAGCAGUGGGGAAUUUUGCGCAAUGGGGGAAACCCUGACGCAGCAACGCCGCGUGAGUGAUGAAGGCUUUCGGGUCGUAAAGCUCUGUCAGAGGGGAAGAAAURRGWCKKGCURAUAUCCMGKYUUCUUGACGGUACCCUCAAAGGAAGCACCGGCUAACUCCGUGCCAGCAGCCGCGGUAAUACAAGGG